RNAcentral lists this ribosomal RNA (497 nucleotides) under uncultured bacterium. RNAcentral's name for it is "partial 16S ribosomal RNA". It matches the Rfam family "Bacterial small subunit ribosomal RNA", at positions 28 to 507 of the family's 1533-position model. The record is from RNAcentral.
GAUGAACGCUGGCGGUGUGCCUAAUACAUGCAAGUCGAGCGAACAGACGAGGAGCUUGCUCCUCUGACGUUAGCGGCGGACGGGUGAGUAACACGUGGAUAACCUACCUAUAAGACUGGGAUAACUUCGGGAAACCGGAGCUAAUACCGGAUAAUAUAUUGAACCGCAUGGUUCAAUAGUGAAAGACGGUUUUGCUGUCACUUAUAGAUGGAUCCGCGCCGCAUUAGCUAGUUGGUAAGGUAACGGCUUACCAAGGCAACGAUGCGUAGCCGACCUGAGAGGGUGAUCGGCCACACUGGAACUGAGAAACGGUCCAGACUCCUACGGGAGGCAGCAGUAGGGAAUCUUCCGCAAUGGGCGGAAGCGUGACGGAGCAACGCCGCGUGAGUGAUGAUGGUCUUCGGAUCGUAAAACUCUGUUAUUAGGGAAGACCAAAUGUGUAAGUAACUAUGCACGUCUUGACGGUACCGAAUCAGAAAGCCACGGCUAACUACGUG